CCGGGCGUUGGAGUGUCUGGGACGGUGGUUCUGCGGAAUCACACGGGUGGCCGCGGUGGGUCAGCGAGGUGGCAGUGUGUCCGCCCGCCCCUGCGCGCUCUGCCCUGUUGGUGGAAAAGGCAAGACUGGAGGCUUUGCCCUGACGCUGGUCUUGCUAUCCGGGUGCGGCUUCUCCCACCCUCUACUCCGGGGCAAGGGGUCCUGUGGGGACUGACUUCCCUGAAGAAGGAAGGAGGAAAGGGACAAAUGAAGGAUAAAGGGUGACGCUCAUACGUUGGUGGUAGGACAGUAAAUGGUGCAGCUACGUGGAGAACACUGUGGUGACCCCCACAAAAAAACUGCAUGUGACUCAGACUCUCCACUGCUAGGAAGAAGGGGGCCAUGGCUGAUGUUCUAAAGUCCCAAGAAACAAGCAAGAACACAGUCCAAGGAUGAAAUGGAUAUAGAAAAUUCGGAUUUUCUGGAGGAGGCACAGAGGUGUGUUUAAUCAGAGGGAGGACAGUCAGGUGUGGAAAUGAGAAAGCAGCGAGAACACGGUGAGGACGCAUUUCCCUGGGACGCCUGUCUGUGACAACAACAGAGACGUGGCAGGGCAGGUCUGCUUCUCAGAGGACCCAGCUUCACACAGAACUCUACCAGGCCUCUGGAAUGAUCAAUUCCUGUGGGUUAGAACCUGUUGACAGGAGCAGACAUGAGCCUGCAGUGUUGCUCAGAGGAAGAGGAUCAGUGGUCACCAUUCUGUUCUGCUGGUUCCAGCUUCUGGAAAAGGAACUAUAGAUGUGGACAGUUCUGGACCUGUGUGCCCCCGACACAAUUUCAACAGAGUCCUGGCGAAGGUUUUGCCUUACCAUGAACUGCUCUGUGUGGACUACCCAAGAAUGGAUCCUACGGGGAAAAAAUAAAAAUCAUUUUGUGUUUUAGA
Molecule: long non-coding RNA, 922 nt
Organism: Sciurus carolinensis (gray squirrel)
Lineage: Eukaryota; Metazoa; Chordata; Mammalia; Rodentia; Sciuridae
Exons: 5
Source: RefSeq, a predicted model, not a curated record